AAAAAGAUCAGACUAUCAGGAAGACCCUAGAUAAAUAACAAGUACUGAUAUCUAAAAAGGUUUUCGUCCCGCUUUAUAAUAAAGCAACCACCACAACCACAAGGUACAACGAGAGUCGCACGUGUACACAAGGUAGCACAACAUAGAGUAUAAUAAGGUUCUGCUAAGGCACAACUCAACAAGCCCUGGACACAAGAAAACGACAGGCGGGAGUCCCGCACGCGCGCGAAACGAAGCUUCUAGUCCGGCUCCGAAGGUGCUGCAGGAAGCGGCGGUGCCAAGCGAAGAGCCAUCGUCCUGAGGUCAGCAGUAAGAGUGUUGAUGGCCUCCUAGACGUGGUGACAGCUAAGCGACCGCCAGAACUGCAAAACCCCACACAUUUUGAACACCGCGUCAGUCGCAUGGUGGAGAGGCACAUGUUGAAUCACAAGCUUAUUACGGACCGUCCAAAGCGUCCAGGCCAGAACCCCAAUGGCAAGCCACCUAACGUGGCGGCCCAUGACCUCCCGGAGGCAGCUUGAGAGAAACUGGACGGACACGCACGACUACUAGAUAAAUAGAAUAAAGCAAGUACUCAUCCCAUGAAAAUAGAGACAUGAAGCCAAUCAAUUGAAACUACUUCGAAAGCAGAGCAAAAUGGUAUGAAAACUAGCAUACAUUUUCACACAACCAGAAAAGCAGAGUAAAAUACUCCGAAAAUACGUCAAAAGCGAGCUUAUUUUAGCAUCAAACGAAGCAGUUAGUCACUUCAGCCCGAAAGGGUAAUGAAAUAAACAUAUAUUUGAUGCAGCCACAUAACAGUCACUUUUGAUCAUAACUUUUUAUACAUCAACACAAAAAGAAGAAGUCAGCAUGUUCAUACUCGAUCCAACUCAUACACUGCAGUUCAUGAGGAUAUGAAAAGUUGAAAACUAUGACUGAAAUAAUGAUCGCCAGGAUUGAUACUACUAAGACAGUAAGUAUGCUUUUCACUAGUGUUUACAUAGUAGCAAGGGGAACUCCCAAGGCGCAAUAUCUUCACACAACUGCGUAUUUCAGCGAAUACUUAGUGUAGAAAUUAUUGUCAAGUGUGUCGUUUCUUGGGGUUGAUAUGUCCCGCAGCUCCACAGGCUAUCAGAAAGGAGGCGGCGUACCGCCAGGGCCCGGGUGUCCGAACAGAGGGCCGCAGCAAUCUUGGAGCAGGCAGCAGCAGCACAGGAGAUAGAUGCUACAGAAGAAGCGUUCGCCCAGAGUUUCAGAUGUAUACGUGUACAACAAAAGAGAUUCAGAGUUACAAAAUUUAACUCCUUGUACAUGCUUUAUCCCUUAGGAAUUGUGGUUUUAGUUAGUGCUGAAAAUAUUACACUUCAUCCCUGAACUACUAAUCAUCUACCGAGUGAAUAGACUGAUUUUGUAGAAGAAAAGACAAUUCACAUGCUGACUGAAUGAAUGAUCACUUCCAUCAGUUAGCUGAGAACUCAACUUACCAGGAUCCGAAGAACCCACCAAACCCAGGCCCCCAGGAACCAGGGCCAGGGUCACCAGGAAACCCAGGCCCGCCAGGUGGAACCAGACUCCACCCUCCUGGGCCCCAUCCUACAUGGCCUCCUGAACCCGGUCCUCCUCCAGGCCCAUGCGGGUCCAUCUCGCCAAGAUAAACUGCUGCACCAAUAAGAUAAAAAGAAGCUAAACUGCUGCUGAAUGGUAAACUACAGCUUCCCAACUCGAUCAGAAGGAACCCAGAAUUGAUGCUGCAGUUGGAGGUGAAGAAGUAUUUGUAGAGGUAGGGUGAGAAGUAGUGGUUGUGCAUGUACCUGCUGUUCAAUAGCUCACCCGCAGGUCGUCUGGGUUAGUUUCAACUACUGUUCUCUGCAUGCUUACUGUUGCAGCACCAGAAGGAAGUUUUGUGCUCUCAAGAUUGAGUUUAGUUCUAAACCAAAAUAGGAGAGAUCCUGCAGACGUCGGUAAAAAAAACAGGAUGUAGUAAAUGUAAAGUACAAG
RNAcentral lists this long non-coding RNA (1980 nucleotides) under Hordeum vulgare. RNAcentral describes it as "long non-coding RNA (HVUL_LNC008038)". Lineage: Eukaryota; Viridiplantae; Streptophyta; Magnoliopsida; Poales; Poaceae. The record is from RNAcentral.